This 312-nucleotide long non-coding RNA is filed under the name Physcomitrium patens. Its description in RNAcentral is "long non-coding RNA (PPAT_LNC014690)". The record is from RNAcentral. Lineage: Eukaryota; Viridiplantae; Streptophyta; Bryopsida; Funariales; Funariaceae.
UAUUACAUUGCAUGCUUUGUUAUAUUGGCAUGAUUCGUAGAAGUGUACAAAAGCUUAAAUAUCAUGAUCCAAAUCUGCCCAAAAUUAUAUCCUCAAGAUUUGUUCUAGAAUCUUCUCAUGCUUUAAAUGUCUAGAUAUUAGAAUGUCAUGUCUUUCUUAAAGUUUGUGCAUUUGAAGUAUAGCAUUGUCAAGUAUAUAAAUCUUCUUCUUGAAAUAGAACAAACCAUCAUUAAAAUAAUAAUCUUGAUAUUACACAUUAUUACUUUUAGUAAAUUGAUAAUCAUUUUAAAAUAAGCAUCCUGAUACAUAGCU